Molecule: long non-coding RNA, 716 nt
Organism: Herpailurus yagouaroundi (jaguarundi)
Lineage: Eukaryota; Metazoa; Chordata; Mammalia; Carnivora; Felidae
Exons: 2
Source: RefSeq, a predicted model, not a curated record
CUGAUGCAUCCUAAAAUGGUAAUGAUUUCUAGUAAGUCAAUAUCAUGGCUUUCCAGAUAACAUCUCUAAAUGUACCCAGCCUUAAAGAAGAGAAGUUAGAUUGACGAGGUUCUACUUUCCGCCAAGAAGAUUUUAUAGCUCCCUCCUAUGAACACCAAAGGUCUUGGACAUACUUGGAGUCAAGUUAAAGUGAACCUUGUCCUGGAAAUUCAGGCCCACACAGAGCUCAGUGGUGGAACGCGUGGAAUGGCAAAGGUGGCAAAGGCAGGUGGUAACCACUGUGCUAAACACCGGGAUGAAAAUAAAGCAGCAUUAGACAUGUUUCUGGCUGCUCACAUUGUAUGUCUCAAGAUGAAACUUCUGUGAUCCGACACUGAUUGGCGAAUGAACAGAACAGAAACAGUUUUGGACUUCAUGAGAUUUUGACACUACAGCAGUAAGGGGGUAAAAACGUGAGUUGGUCAGUUUAGACGUCCUCAUUCACAUGCAAUGGGUAGAAAUCCUGCCAUUUCCACAGUAUUAAUAGCCACUCUCCAAUAACUGGUUUUUUCUAAUUGUGACAAGUUGUAACAAGACAAGAUGGAGGCACACAAGUGGCUGUGCCAGAGGGUUAAAUGUAUAAGGAAUGGGGUAAACGGAUUAUGAUGGGGAUUCUUAUGUCCAACUUCACUUAAUGAAGGAUCCUGAUCAGAAUCAAAUACAUAUGAUGCUUCAUG